AAGUCCCUCCUAAUAUGUGAGUGGUUCCUUUCCAAGGCAUAAACAGUUGAUGCCUUCUUUUUGAUCAUACUACUUCUAAAAGGCUUAUCUGGAGUUUUGGGUAGAUAUGAUGGUGGAACUUACUUACCCUGCAUAUGUUGUCGAGUCAAACCCAGGACCAUACUGGAGGGAGUGCGCCAUACCCUUAGAUCAGAAUGUGCAAGUGUGUGGAAUUUUUGGUGGAAUCCUAUCACUAAUUUUAUUGCAACAUUCCUUGCAUCAAGACUCUCUUUUGAAAUGUGAUGAAAAACUUUUGAGGAUAUGGGCUCUAACACAAAUUUUAUAUUUUAUAUUUUUAUUUUUUUGGACGGGUAUGAAUCUUUCCCAGUUUUGCCCCUUUGGCAUUUUUCUCAUAAUUUUUUUCUACAUAUAUAGCCCAUUCCUAUGAUUCUUGAUGAAAACGAAAGACAGCUUUAUGAUAACAAAUGCAAUGAAUGUAUAUGAAUGCACAAUUCUCAGGGUGAGAUAUUGGCAUUUUUAUUUGGUGAAUAUAUGUGCGCAACCCUCAGUGUAAGAGUUGGUGAAAUUUUGGGUGGAUGGAGAAAGCAUGUUGUGCGUGACUUCUCAGUGUGAGAGUCGGCUUUUAUAUGGUGGGUGCAAGUGAAUUCUGAUCUUAGAGGCAUGAAACAUCUCUCGACAGCGGUCCUAAAAUUUGACUAAACUCAACACAGAGCAAGCAGCAUAUGUAGAAGGUUUAAUCAUGAACAAAAUAUUUGGCCAUGGUAGGAAUAAACCUUGAUCAUUCAAGAAACUUGCUAUUGAAUUUUGCUUUUUAUAAAUGAAAACUCAAGUACUUUGCAAGAACCAGCAAGCAUCAUGUCAUCCUACUAUAUCACAUACGUCAAUUACUUAGAUAAAAUGGGAUCCCUAUAACAAGUGUUCAUAAAUCUCUAGGGAUAUUAGCUAAGAAUAAAAAGUAUGCAAAAACAUAUUUGAACAAAGGAGACAUGUUCGAUGGAGUACGAAGGUAACAUCUUUUUAAACAUUUCAUUUGAAAAUAUUUUUGUGGGUAGAGGGUUCGGACAAACCGAGAUUUUUUAUUAAAUAGUCCUUCCCCCACACUUGUUUUCUUUCCUAUCAUGGUUAGUCACAAUAUAUAUAGAAAACAAGUGCACAAGAUAAACACAGCUUUUUUUAUUGAUAACU
RNAcentral lists this long non-coding RNA (1185 nucleotides) under Sorghum bicolor (sorghum). Its description in RNAcentral is "long non-coding RNA (SBIC_LNC008464)". The record is from RNAcentral. Lineage: Eukaryota; Viridiplantae; Streptophyta; Magnoliopsida; Poales; Poaceae.